CCGGGAGAAGAAGCACCGGCUAACUCUGUGCCAGCAGCCGCGGUAAUACAGAGGGUGCAAGCGUUGUUCGGAAUUAUUGGGCGUAAAGCGCGUGUAGGCGGCAUGGCAAGUCGGGUGUGAAAGCCCUCAGCUCAACUGAGGAAGUGCGCCCGAAACUGCUGCGCUUGAGUACCGGAGAGGGUGGCGGAAUUCCCCAAGUAGAGGUGAAAUUCGUAGAUAUGGGGAGGAACACCGGUGGCGAAGGCGGCCACCUGGACGGUCACUGACGCUGAGACGCGAAAGCGUGGGUAGCAAACAGGAUUAGAUACCCUGGUAGUCCACGCCGUAAACGAUGAGAACUAGGUGUCGCGGGAGUUGACCCCUGCGGUGCCGGAGCUAACGCAUUAAGUUCUCCGCCUGGGAAGUACGGUCGCAAGACUAAGACUCAAAGGAAUUGACGGGGGCCCGCACAAGCGGUGGAGUAUGUGGUUUAAUUCGAUGCAACGCGAAGAACCUUACCUGGGUUUGACAUGUCUGGAAUCCUGCAGAGAUGUGGGAGUGCCGCAAGGAGCCAGAACACAGGUGCUGCAUGGCUGUCGUCAGCUCGUGUCGUGAGAUGUUGGGUUAAGUCCCGCAACGAGCGCAACCCUUGCCCUUAGUUGCCAGCACGUAAUGGUGGGAACUCUAGGGGGACUGCCGGUGACAAACCGGAGGAAGGUGGGGAUGACGUCAAGUCAUCAUGGCCUUUAUGCCCAGGGCUACACACGUACUACAAUGGUCGGUACAGAGGGCUGCAAACCCGCGAGG
This 786-nucleotide ribosomal RNA is filed under the name uncultured Cystobacterineae bacterium. RNAcentral's name for it is "bacterial SSU rRNA". It matches the Rfam family "Bacterial small subunit ribosomal RNA", at positions 478 to 1262 of the family's 1533-position model. Lineage: Bacteria; Pseudomonadati; Myxococcota; Myxococcia; Myxococcales. The record is from RNAcentral.